GUGAGGAAUAUUGGUCAAUGGACGAGAGUCUGAACCAGCCAAGUAGCGUGAAGGAUGAAGGUCCUACGGAUUGUAAACUUCUUUUAUAAGGGAAUAAACCCUCCCACGUGUGGGAGCUUGUAUGUACCUUAUGAAUAAGCAUCGGCUAACUCCGUGCCAGCAGCCGCGGUAAUACGGAGGAUGCGAGCGUUAUCCGGAUUUAUUGGGUUUAAAGGGAGCGCAGGCGGACUCUUAAGUCAGUUGUGAAAUACGGCGGCUCAACCGUCGGACUGCAGUUGAUACUGGGAGUCUUGAGUGCACACAGGGAUGCUGGAAUUCAUGGUGUAGCGGUGAAAUGCUUAGAUAUCACGAAGAACUCCGAUUGCGAAGGCAGCACACUAAUCCGUAACUGACGUUCAUGCUCGAAAGUGUGGGUAUCAAACAGGAUUAGAUACCCCAGUAGUCC
RNAcentral lists this ribosomal RNA (445 nucleotides) under uncultured bacterium. Its description in RNAcentral is "bacterial SSU rRNA". It matches the Rfam family "Bacterial small subunit ribosomal RNA", at positions 354 to 796 of the family's 1533-position model. The record is from RNAcentral.